GACGAACGCUGGCGGCGUGCUUAACACAUGCAAGUCGAACGGAAAGGCCCUGCUUUUGUGGGGUGCUCGAGUGGCGAACGGGUGAGUAACACGUGAGUAACCUGUCCUUGACUUUGGGAUAACUUCAGGAAACUGGGGCUAAUACCGGAUAGGAGCUCCUGCUGCAUGGUGGGGGUUGGAAAGUUUCGGCGGUUGGGGAUGGACUCGCGGCUUAUCAGCUUGUUGGUGGGGUAGUGGCUUACCAAGGCUUUGACGGGUAGCCGGCCUGGGCGGGUGACCGGCCACAUUGGGACUGAGAUACGGCCCAGACUCCUACGGGAGGCAGCAGUGGGGAAUAUUGCACAAUGGGCGGAAGCCUGAUGCAGCACCGCCGCGUGCGGGAUGACGGCCUUCGGGUUGUAAACCGCUUUCGCCUGUGACGAAGCGUGAGUGACGGUAAUGGGUAAAGAAGCACCGGCUAACUACGUG
Molecule: ribosomal RNA, 468 nt
Filed under: uncultured bacterium
Lineage: Bacteria
Description: partial 16S ribosomal RNA
Rfam family: Bacterial small subunit ribosomal RNA
Source: RNAcentral